GGUAUCGCUUCUCGGCCUUUUGGCUAAGAUCACGUGCAGUGUCCCUGACAGUGCUGCACUUGAUCAGAGAAGCGAUCGCAGGCCGGAGGGCGCCCGGGAGUUGUGCUAUUUAUUUUUGUUGAAAAUUAUUAUUCUUGUAUUGUUUCACUAUUGUUUUUGUCCUGGGUUAGGUGGUGGUUCUGGUGGUGGACUACAGGUGCACCAGCACCUGUAGGGAUCGGGAACCAGUAUGUCCAGUGCGCGGGCUCGCUAUAGGUGAGCCCACAACGGUUUGGCGCAACGUGGCCCACCCUGCUCUCCUGAAUCGGCAUCGGGACCUGUCCUGGAUGGUCGCCCACGAGAUCCUCCCGGUCAGGGCCGUUAUGCACUCACGGGGCAUGGCGAGGACAUCCGCGUGCCCCCGACCAGGCUGCGGCCAAGAAGAGUCGGUGAGGCACAUGCUCUGGGAGUGCAGAGCCGCCAGGGACCUGUGGAAGGAAGCAGGCCCCCUGAUCACCUCGUGUCUGCCAGCAGGGGAGGACCUAACACCUCAGCUCGUGCUGUAUGGGGUGGGCCGAAGGCCCAUUUCAUCGAAGACCUUCACCAAGCUCUG
Long non-coding RNA from Oncorhynchus tshawytscha (Chinook salmon), 592 nucleotides. Lineage: Eukaryota; Metazoa; Chordata; Actinopteri; Salmoniformes; Salmonidae. The record is from Ensembl.